UGAGUACGAGACGCUAAGGCGUCGAAGUAGUGGAUGUCAUACUUCCAAGAGAAGCUUGCACUGUCAUAAAUUAAAAAUGCCUGUACCAUAACCGACACAGGUGGGUAAGUAGAGUAUACUAAGGGGCGCGAGAUAACUCUCUCUAAGGAACUCGGCAAAAUAACUCCGUAACUUCGGGAGAAGGAGUGCCUUAUUCUUAAGGUUGCAAUAACAAGAUCCAAGCAACUGUUUAUCAAAAACACAGGUCUCCGCUAAGUCGUAAGACGAUGUAUGGGGGCUGACGCCUGCCCAGUGCCAGAAGGUUAAAGAAGUCGGUUAGCAAUAGCAAAGCUGGUAACUGAAGCCCUGGUGAACGGCGGCCGUAACAAUAACGGUCCUAAGGUAGCGAAAUUCCUUGUCGGGUAAGUUCCGACCCGCACGAAAGGCGUAAUGAUUUGGAUGCUGUCUCGGAGAGGGGCUCGGUGAAAUAGACUUGUCUGUGAAGAUGCGGACUACCUGCACCAGGACAGAAAGACCCUAUGAAGCUUUACUGUAACUUGAAAUUGAAAUUGGACUUUAUUCGCGCAGUAUAGGUGGGAGGCGUUGAUUAUAAUCUUGUGGGAUUAUUGGAGCCAUCAGUGAGAUACCACUCUUGUAAUGUUAGAUUUCUAACUUUGAAUCAUUAUCUGGUCAAAGGACAGUUUCAGGCGGGCAGUUUGACUGGGGCGGUCGCCUCCUAAACGGUAACGGAGGCGUACAAAGGUUUCCUCUGAACGGUUAGAAAUCGUAUCUAGAGUGUAAAGGCAUAAGGAAGCUUGACUGUGAGACCUACAAGUCGAGCAGGGACGAAAGUCGGUCUUAGUGAUCUGACGGUACUGAGUGGAAAGGCCGUCACUCAACGGAUAAAAGUUACUCUAAGGAUAACAGGCUGAUCUCCCCCAAGAGUUCACAUCGACGGGGAGGUUUGGCACCUCGAUGUCGGCUCAUCGCAUCCUGGGGCGGUAGUACGUCCCAAGGGUUGGGCUGUUCGCCCAUGAAAGCGGUACGCGAGCUGGGUUCAGAACGUCGUGAGACAGUUCGGUCCAUAUCCGGUGUAGGCGCUAGAAUAUUGAGAGGAGCCUUCUUUAGUACGAGAGGACCGAGAAGGACAUACCUCUGGUGUACCAGUUAUCGUGCCAACGGUAAACGCUGGGUAGCUAUGUAUGGAGUGGAUAACCGCUGAAAGCAUCUAAGUGGGAAGCCCACCUC
This 1227-nucleotide ribosomal RNA is filed under the name metagenome. RNAcentral describes it as "bacterial LSU rRNA". It matches the Rfam family "Bacterial large subunit ribosomal RNA", at positions 1564 to 2800 of the family's 2925-position model. The record is from RNAcentral.